UUUGUGUCUCUUCUGAAUUUUACACUGCAAUGAUUGACUUUGUGCUUUAUUGUAUAAAUGUCUUUUUUGUUCUUUAUCUAGGUCCUUGGACACAGCUUCCAGCAGUGAUCUGAGACCCAACCCCACUACACAGUUCUUGAAUGGCAGUCCCCAGUCCAUGGUUCACAGAAUACACCACCCUAUGAGCUCUCCCUGAAAAGGUACGAGUAAAGUUCACACUUGAUGGGAGAGACCGCUUCAGCCGUCUGUUCACAGAUUCUACCUUUUGGGUCAUCAGGUUCCACAGGGUCUUUUCCAACACGGAGUCACUGAGACGGGCAUCAACUUUCUCCAUCAGAAUUUUUGACACAGUUGCCUCUCCACCGCUGAACUUGAAAUCACUUGCAGCCUUAAAUGCACCUGUAUCUGAGUCGGCGACAAGCUUGUACACCUCCAGGCCGUCUUUUUUGAGGUUCUCCAGACUUUCAUAGCAGUAUGCUUGUUCAUUACCAAUUGAUGAGGCCAGAGGUUUCUUUUGACUUACCUCAGUGGUUCAUCUUUGGCCACCGGGGAAGGACGGAGCAGCCUGUGAGAAGAUGUCCGAUGUAAAGUGAAACUUCUGGAGGUACAACAUUUGUGUCCGCUGAAGGUCUGCGGGAUGCCUGCCAGUUAUCAAAAUGCUGGUAGACCAUGGUUUGCUCUAACCAUGAAACUUAGGGCCACCUCUUCCUCUUUGAAGAGCAAACCUCUUCCUCUUUGAAGAGCAAUGGCAUGUCUUGUGGUCAGGGCCUUUCCAUCCGCAAAAAUGGAGAUCACCGUCCAGAUCCAAAAAACUUUUUCGCUGGAUUCUAUCGCAAAAACAGCCUCUCCAUACCAGAUUUGAAGGAUUUCAACAAACCUGUCAAUGAGGGAGUGAGCUAUGCCCCCAAGAAGUUGACUCUUAAAUUGUGAAAUCCAAAAUACUGUGAUUAUGGAGACAUUUUUGGCCCUUAAUUACCAAAAUAAUAUGCGGACGUUUUUGUUUGGCAGUUGUGUUCGAAACUUUACAUAAACCUAGGUGUGUCCAAUUAGUGUGAA
Long non-coding RNA from Mizuhopecten yessoensis (Yesso scallop), 1056 nucleotides. RefSeq lists it as uncharacterized. NCBI's taxonomy places the organism in Eukaryota, Metazoa, Mollusca, Bivalvia, Pectinida, Pectinidae. The record is from RefSeq and is a predicted model, not a curated record. The transcript is spliced from 5 exons.